Molecule: long non-coding RNA, 802 nt
Filed under: Mus musculus (house mouse)
Lineage: Eukaryota; Metazoa; Chordata; Mammalia; Rodentia; Muridae
Description: predicted gene, 56621
Source: RNAcentral
AAGAAACCUUUUGGUCCAAGACUGACUUCGGUGGAAUCCUACUUUAGUUUGUUGUUGGUACCCUAUCUGGGAGGGAGUGGUUAUUUCCUUAGGAAAAUAAUCAUGAAAUAAGGACACUGUCACAGCAUCAUAGACAGUGGCAAGUUUUAUCCUGAAUUGGAUUGCUGCUACACUGGCUAUUGAGAAGGAAAUGGGGUAGAAGACUUUAAGAAGUGCAAUAAAUAGUGUGAUAGUCUUUUAGCUCAGCUCAGAGAAUAUCACCCAGAAUGGGCACCCAUUAUUACAGAGAUCAAGUCCUUUUAGUCAAAGGACCUUUGCCUCAGGGUGAAGAGAGUGGCUUAGAGCUACACUUUUAAACCUAUUCAAGAACUGAACUCAAACAGGUCAGAGGUCUACACAAGGAUGCAGACAUAAGCCAGUUUCCCAAUAUUGCCGAUAGCGUCAAGGAUCUGUUUACUCACACGGGGCCUGUCUGCCACAAUCCUUGUGUCUGUCACCCUUUCUCCUUCGUGGUUUUAAACUGCUCAUUAUGCAUGGAACUUGAUUGCCCAACCCUGCUUGGGGGAUGAAAACAUUAGCCAACAAAGAAAGAAAAACAGAUAAGGAGGUCCACUUCUGGAACAAGUCAGACCGGGGAGAGAUCAGGGCCAGGGGGAGCCAGAGGGAAGGAGUUCCUCGGGGGCCAGGACCUGGUCACAGCGCCCUCUCUCCGCCCAGCCCUGCGGCUCCAGGGCUGCGCGCCUUGGGAGGGAAGAUGGUGAAAGCAGAAGCAGCGCCUACACCGGGAGAGCAGGGAGGAGGA